RNAcentral lists this long non-coding RNA (418 nucleotides) under Brassica napus (rape). RNAcentral describes it as "long non-coding RNA (BNAP_LNC021867)". Lineage: Eukaryota; Viridiplantae; Streptophyta; Magnoliopsida; Brassicales; Brassicaceae. The record is from RNAcentral.
AUGUGAAUGUUGUUUAUAAUGGUUGCUUGUGUGAUUGGUUGUUGUGAUUCCUAUGAGGAUCCUUGAAUGAGAGCUAGGUUGCUAGAAACAAGUGAAUGCUUAAGAUGAUAAAUAUGUCGUUGGUGACUGAUGUGAAUGCAUGAUGUACGUGAAUGAGAUGUCCUUUGGCAUCAGUGUUGCGUUUGAGAGUGUGAAGUGUAUUGUGUAAAACACCGAUAACGGGUGGCAUCUAAUGAACGUGUUUGAGUCUAAGUUGAAAUGAAUGAGUUAAGGAAAUGAGAAUGAGUAUGAGAAAUGCGAAUGAGAAUGAGAACGUGAACGAGUCAAUGAAUUUGCUUGAUGUCCUAUUUAGACCACCGAGAACGGGUGGGCGUCUAGAGUCUAGGGUGUGUGAGCCUGCGGGACAGUAGCCUAACAC